Molecule: small nuclear RNA, 19 nt
Filed under: Arabidopsis thaliana (thale cress)
Lineage: Eukaryota; Viridiplantae; Streptophyta; Magnoliopsida; Brassicales; Brassicaceae
Description: snRNA_05008
Source: RNAcentral
UCGUUCUUAGAAUCUCUGU